AACCUCCGCAAUGUGAGAAAUCGCGACGGGGGGAUCCCAAGUGCCAUUCUUAACGGGAUGGCUUUUCUUAAGUGUAAAAAGCUUUUGGAAUAAGAGCUGGGCAAGACCGGUGCCAGCCGCCGCGGUAACACCGGCAGCUCUAGUGGUAGCUGUUUUUAUUGGGCCUAAAGCGUUCGUAGCCGGUUUGAUAAGUCACUGGUGAAAUCCUGUAGCUUAACUGUGGGAAUUGCUGGUGAUACUGUUGAACUUGAGGUCGGGAGAGGUUAGCGGUACUCCCAGGGUAGAGGUGAAAUUCUGUAAUCCUGGGAGGACCACCUGUGGCGAAGGCGGCUAACUGGAACGAACCUGACGGUGAGGGACGAAAGCUAGGGGCGCGAACCGGAUUAGAUACCCGGGUAGUCCUAGCCGUAAACGAUGCGGACUUGGUGUUGGGAUGGCUUUGAGCCGCUCCGGUGCCGAAGGGAAGCUGUAAGUCCGCCGCUGGGAAGUACGGUCGCAAGACUGAAACUUAAAGGAAUU
This 519-nucleotide ribosomal RNA is filed under the name uncultured bacterium. RNAcentral's name for it is "bacterial SSU rRNA". It matches the Rfam family "Archaeal small subunit ribosomal RNA", at positions 345 to 866 of the family's 1478-position model. The record is from RNAcentral.